RNAcentral lists this transfer RNA (88 nucleotides) under Candidatus Thorarchaeota archaeon. RNAcentral's name for it is "tRNA-Arg". The stretch from base 25 to 85 matches the Rfam family "tRNA". Rfam says of the family: Transfer RNA (tRNA) molecules are approximately 80 nucleotides in length. Their secondary structure includes four short double-helical elements and three loops (D, anti-codon, and T loops). The record is from RNAcentral. Lineage: Archaea; Promethearchaeati; Candidatus Thorarchaeota.
GGACCUGCAGGCCAUGCUUGCAGGAGGCGCAUAGGGCACCAGCCUCCUAAGUUGGUAAUCGCCGGUUCGAAUCCGGCCGGGCCCGCCA